This is a long non-coding RNA of Tupaia belangeri chinensis (Chinese tree shrew), 316 nucleotides long. RefSeq lists it as uncharacterized. The transcript is spliced from 3 exons. Lineage: Eukaryota; Metazoa; Chordata; Mammalia; Scandentia; Tupaiidae. The record is from RefSeq and is a predicted model, not a curated record.
GACGCUGUCGGGAUGAGUAUGCCAAGGCCCCCCAACGAGAGACCACCACACAGGUGCUCCACACGAUUCCUAGGCUGGGAUUUAAGCCACUGAUGGCCAUGUGGGAUCUGGGCUCCUUUCCCAUCCAGUUACGGGGCCAGCCUUUGCCAUGGUUUGGGUAAUAGCUUGUCUCCCAAAGGCAGGGGGCACGACGAGGCAGGCAGAGUCCAUGUGGACACAGACCAGAGCCAGAGAAGCCUGUGGACGGCUGCGUGCACCGAGCUCUGCCCUCCCCCAUGUUGGAGUGUCACCAAAAGCUGGACCUGGAUUUCCAAAC